This 1634-nucleotide ribosomal RNA is filed under the name Klebsiella michiganensis. RNAcentral's name for it is "partial 23S ribosomal RNA". It matches the Rfam family "Bacterial large subunit ribosomal RNA", at positions 1315 to 2925 of the family's 2925-position model. RNAcentral also lists the same sequence under 1 other name. The record is from RNAcentral. Lineage: Bacteria; Pseudomonadati; Pseudomonadota; Gammaproteobacteria; Enterobacterales; Enterobacteriaceae.
AUGCGGGUGAAAAACCCGCACGCCGGAAGACCAAGGGUUCCUGUCCAACGUUAAUCGGGGCAGGGUGAGUCGACCCCUAAGGCGAGGCCGAAAGGCGUAGUCGAUGGGAAACAGGUUAAUAUUCCUGUACUCGGUGUUACUGCGAAGGGGGGACGGAGAAGGCUAUGUUGGCCGGGCGACGGUUGUCCCGGUUUAAGCAUGUAGGCGGAUGUUCCAGGUAAAUCCGGAACGUUAUUAACGCUGAGGUGUGAUGACGAGGCACUACGGUGCUGAAGUGACAAAUGCCCUGCUUCCAGGAAAAGCCUCUAAGCAUCAGGUAACAUCAAAUCGUACCCCAAACCGACACAGGUGGUCAGGUAGAGAAUACCAAGGCGCUUGAGAGAACUCGGGUGAAGGAACUAGGCAAAAUGGUGCCGUAACUUCGGGAGAAGGCACGCUGAUGGUAAGUGAAGUGACUUGCUCAUGGAGCUGAAAUCAGUCGAAGAUACCAGCUGGCUGCAACUGUUUAUUAAAAACACAGCACUGUGCAAACACGAAAGUGGACGUAUACGGUGUGACGCCUGCCCGGUGCCGGAAGGUUAAUUGAUGGGGUUAUCCGUAAGGAGAAGCUCUUGAUCGAAGCCCCGGUAAACGGCGGCCGUAACUAUAACGGUCCUAAGGUAGCGAAAUUCCUUGUCGGGUAAGUUCCGACCUGCACGAAUGGCGUAAUGAUGGCCAGGCUGUCUCCACCCGAGACUCAGUGAAAUUGAACUCGCUGUGAAGAUGCAGUGUACCCGCGGCAAGACGGAAAGACCCCGUGAACCUUUACUAUAGCUUGACACUGAACACUGGUCCUUGAUGUGUAGGAUAGGUGGGAGGCUUUGAAGUGUGGACGCCAGUCUGCAUGGAGCCAUCCUUGAAAUACCACCCUUUAAUGGCUGGUGUUCUAACGUGGGCCCCUAAUCGGGGUUGCGGACAGUGUCUGGUGGGUAGUUUGACUGGGGCGGUCUCCUCCUAAAGAGUAACGGAGGAGCACGAAGGUCAGCUAAUCCUGGUCGGACAUCAGGAGGUUAGUGCAAUGGCAUAAGCUGGCUUGACUGCGAGCGUGACGGCGCGAGCAGGUGCGAAAGCAGGUCAUAGUGAUCCGGUGGUUCUGAAUGGAAGGGCCAUCGCUCAACGGAUAAAAGGUACUCCGGGGAUAACAGGCUGAUACCGCCCAAGAGUUCAUAUCGACGGCGGUGUUUGGCACCUCGAUGUCGGCUCAUCACAUCCUGGGGCUGAAGUAGGUCCCAAGGGUAUGGCUGUUCGCCAUUUAAAGUGGUACGCGAGCUGGGUUUAGAACGUCGUGAGACAGUUCGGUCCCUAUCUGCCGUGGGCGCUGGAGAAUUGAGGGGGGCUGCUCCUAGUACGAGAGGACCGGAGUGGACGCAUCACUGGUGUUCGGGUUGUCAUGCCAAUGGCAUUGCCCGGUAGCUAAAUGCGGAAGAGAUAAGUGCUGAAAGCAUCUAAGCACGAAACUUGCCCCGAGAUGAGUUCUCCCUGACUCCUUGAGAGUCCUGAAGGAACGUUGAAGACGACGACGUUGAUAGGCCGGGUGUGUAAGCGCAGCGAUGCGUUGAGCUAACCGGUACUAAUGAACCGUGAGGCUUAACCUU